RNAcentral lists this unclassified non-coding RNA (214 nucleotides) under Bombus terrestris (buff-tailed bumblebee). RNAcentral's name for it is "misc RNA ENSBTSG00005038216.1". Lineage: Eukaryota; Metazoa; Arthropoda; Insecta; Hymenoptera; Apidae. The record is from RNAcentral.
UCCUCGCGUCGCAGUUCGAACGUUUCACAAAUAAGCUAUACAUAUAUAUUAGACUAUAAAGAUCUCGAUAACCUUCUUGUACUCACGCUUGUUGUCAACCGACUCCACCAGAUUCUUCCAACCGCCUUUUGUCUCAACUCUGACCUGGACGCUCUCUGACCCUUACACACGCAUUCACAUGUACAGUGUAAAUGUAUCGUCUACCUAACAAUUG